RNAcentral lists this transfer RNA (72 nucleotides) under Camelus bactrianus (Bactrian camel). It matches the Rfam family "tRNA". Rfam says of the family: Transfer RNA (tRNA) molecules are approximately 80 nucleotides in length. Their secondary structure includes four short double-helical elements and three loops (D, anti-codon, and T loops). The record is from Rfam by way of RNAcentral. RNAcentral also lists the same sequence under 1 other name. Lineage: Eukaryota; Metazoa; Chordata; Mammalia; Artiodactyla; Camelidae.
GGCUGCAUAGCUCUGUGGUAGAGUGUGUGCUUAGCAUGCAGGAGGUCCUGGGUUCAAUCCCCAGUACCUCCA